RNAcentral lists this ribosomal RNA (490 nucleotides) under uncultured bacterium. RNAcentral's name for it is "partial 16S ribosomal RNA". It matches the Rfam family "Bacterial small subunit ribosomal RNA", at positions 30 to 507 of the family's 1533-position model. The record is from RNAcentral.
AUUGAACGCUGGCGGCAGGCCUAACACAUGCAAGUCGAACGGUAACAGGAAGAAGCUUGCUUCUUUGCUGACGAGUGGCGGACGGGUGAGUAAUGUCUGGGAAACUUCCUGAUGGAGGGGGAUAACUACUGGAAACGGUAGCUAAUACCGCAUAACGUCGCAAGACCAAAGAGGGGGACCUUCGGGCCUCUUGCCAUCGGAUGUGCCCAGAUGGGAUUAGCUAGUAGGUGGGGUAACGGCUCACCUAGGCGACGAUCCCUAGCUGGUCUGAGAGGAUGACCAGCCACACUGGAACUGAGACACGGUCCAGACUCCUACGGGAGGCAGCAGUGGGGAAUAUUGGACAAUGGGCGAAAGCCUGAUGCAGCCAUGCCGCGUGUAUGAAGAAGGCCUUCGGGUUGUAAAGUACUUUCAGCGGGGAGGAAGGGAGUAAAGUUAAUACCUUUGCUCAUUGACGUUACCCGCAGAAGAAGCACCGGCUAACUCCGUG